AGAGUUUGAUCCUGGCUCAGGAUGAACGCUAGCGGCAGGCCUAAUACAUGCAAGUCGAGGGGCAGCACGAGUACUUGUACUUGGUGGUGACCGGCGCACGGGUGCGUAACGCGUAUGCAACCUACCCUUAACUGGAAGAUAGCCCGAAGAAAUUCGGAUUAAUACUCCAUAGUAUCACCAGAUGGCAUCUGAAGGUGAUUAAAGAUUUAUUGGUUAAGGAUGGGCAUGCGUGACAUUAGCUAGUUGGUGAGGUAACGGCUCACCAAGGCAGCGAUGUCUAGGGGUUCUGAGAGGAUUUUCCCCCACACUGGUACUGAGACACGGACCAGACUCCUACGGGAGGCAGCAGUAAGGAAUAUUGGUCAAUGGACGAGAGUCUGAACCAGCCAUGCCGCGUGCAGGAUGAAUGCCCUAUGGGUUGUAAACUGCUUUUAUUUAGGAAGAAACCCCUUUACGUGUAAAGGGCUGACGGUACUAAACGAAUAAGCACCGGCUAACUCCGUGCCAGCAGCCGCGGUAAUACGGAGGGUGCAAGCGUUAUCCGGAUUUACUGGGUUUAAAGGGUGCGCAGGCGGAAUGAUAAGUCAGUGGUGAAAUCCUACAGCUCAACUGUAGAACUGCCAUUGAUACUGCUGAUCUUGAGUUCGGUUGAAGUGGGCGGAAUAUGUAGUGUAGCGGUGAAAUGCAUAGAUAUUACAUAGAACACCUAUUGCGAAGGCAGCUCACUAAGCCGAUACUGACGCUCAGGGACGAAAGCGUGGGGAGCGAACAGGAUUAGAUACCCUGGUAGUCCACGCUGUAAACGAUGAUAACUCGCUGUUGGCGAUAUACUGUCAGCGGCCAAGCGAAAGCGUUAAGUUAUCCACCUGGGGAGUACGAUCGCAAGGUUGAAACUCAAAGGAAUUGACGGGGGCCCGCACAAGCGGUGGAGCAUGUGGUUUAAUUCGAUGAUACGCGAGGAACCUUACCUGGGCUUAAAUGCAGAACGACCGGCUGGGAAACCUUUCUUCUCUUCGGAACUAUUUACAAGGUGCUGCAUGGUUGUCGUCAGCUCGUGCCGUGAGGUGUUGGGUUAAGUCCCGUAACGAGCGCAACCCUUAUCAUUAGUUACCAGCGAGUCAUGUCGGGGACUCUAAUGAGACUGCCUACGCAAGUAGUGAGGAAGGUGGGGAUGACGUCAAAUCAUCACGGCCCUUACGUCCAGGGCUACACACGUGCUACAAUGGAUGGUACAGUAGGUCGCUACAUGGCAACAUGAUGCUAAUCCGAAAAGCCAUUCUCAGUUCGGAUUGAAGUCUGCAACUCGACUUCAUGAAGGCGGAUUCGCUAGUAAUCGCACAUCAGCAAUGGUGCGGUGAAUACGUUCCCGGGCCUUGUACACACCGCCCGUCAAGCCAUGGAAGCCGGGGGUACCUAAAGUCGGUAACCGCAAGGAGCUGCCUAGGGUAAAACUAGUAACUGGGGCUAAGUCGUAACAAGGUAACC
RNAcentral lists this ribosomal RNA (1485 nucleotides) under uncultured prokaryote. RNAcentral describes it as "partial 16S ribosomal RNA". It matches the Rfam family "Bacterial small subunit ribosomal RNA". The record is from RNAcentral.